AGAGUUUGAUCAUGGCUCAGAGCGAACGUUAGCGGCGCGCCUAACACAUGCAAGUCGAGCGAGAAAGGGAGCAAUCCUGAGUAGAGCGGCGCACGGGUGCGUAACACGUAGAUAAUCUGCCCUUUGGCGGGGGAUAACGUUCCGAAAGGAGCGCUAAUACCGCAUACAGCGCGAGAUGGUUCGCCGUUUCGCGGCAAAGGUUGGGACCCGCAAGGGCCAAUCGCCGGAGGAGGAGUCUGCGGCCCAUCAGCUAGUUGGUAAGGUAAUGGCUUACCAAGGCAAAGACGGGUAGCUGGUCUGAGAGGAUGAUCAGCCACACUGGUACUGGAACACGGACCAGACUCCUACGGGAGGCAGCAGUGGGGAAUCUUGGUCAAUGGGCGCAAGCCUGAACCAGCGACGCCGCGUGAGUGAUGAAGGCCUUCGGGUUGUAAAGCUCUGUGGGGAGGGACGAAAGAGACUUGUCGAAUAGACAAGUCAGUUGACGGUACCUCCUUAGCAAGCACCGGCUAACUCUGUGCCAGCAGCCGCGGUAAGACAGAGGGUGCAAACGUUGCUCGGAAUUACUGGGCGUAAAGCGCGUGUA
This 586-nucleotide ribosomal RNA is filed under the name uncultured bacterium. RNAcentral describes it as "bacterial SSU rRNA". It matches the Rfam family "Bacterial small subunit ribosomal RNA", at positions 8 to 573 of the family's 1533-position model. The record is from RNAcentral.